RNAcentral lists this long non-coding RNA (423 nucleotides) under Hordeum vulgare. RNAcentral's name for it is "long non-coding RNA (HVUL_LNC001305)". Lineage: Eukaryota; Viridiplantae; Streptophyta; Magnoliopsida; Poales; Poaceae. The record is from RNAcentral.
GAUGUGCUGUUUUGGCCCAGCAGUGGUUUCAUGUUCUAUCAUGUGGUUGCUAUAUAUAUAUAUAGUGGGGCGAAAGUCUAUUUCGAAAGAGAGACAAAAGAACGUCUAUUAAAAGGAGAUGCAAUAGUAUGUUUGCUCAAGAAAAAAUGGAGAUGCGAUUGUAUGUUUACUUUGACAAACAAGAUGUGGAACUGAGUUAAAUAAAAUUCACAGAAAAAGAAGAGAGAGAGUUAAAUAAAACAUGAUUUUAUAGACAAACCAAAUGUCAGACGCUUCGCAAGAUACUAGUAUACCGAAAGACCCACAAAGUAGACGUUCUACCAAUUUUAAUUAACAAUUAUGGCACAUCUGUACCUAUUUCCAGUUAUCCACAUCGUAUCUUUGUUUUCUUUGUGAUGAUAUCGUAUCUUAUCAAUAUCCAAC